This 31-nucleotide non-coding RNA is filed under the name Rattus norvegicus (Norway rat). Lineage: Eukaryota; Metazoa; Chordata; Mammalia; Rodentia; Muridae. The record is from RNAcentral.
UGAAAUUGAAGCGGUGCUUCUGUUGGCUCUC